AGGGUUCUGCCCUCAUGACCUUUUCACCUUCCGGAGGUCCUGCCUCCUAGCCCCAUCACCUUGCGGGAAGGCUUCUGUGGCCUCAUCUACUUCAUUGUGACGAGGUCGAGGCUGUAAGGGGCCAAGUGGAUGAUUUAGCUCAACAGCUAAAUGAUGUUCUGGGAGAAAGGGACUGAGGCUGCCGUGGACAGUGGUCAUCUCGGGCUUCGAAGUCAAUGUGAAGUCAACGUCUAAUGGACCCGAGUUCAGCCAAGAACACACAUCCCCAUCGCCCUGUUCUUGCGACAUCCUGGGAAAGCGACCCCGGUGGCCGAGCCCAGUGUGCCUUCCUGGACCCAUCACUUGGCACCCUGCACAUGCUCCUGACGGCAACUCUACUAGGUAUUAUUCUUCACGUAUUUGCAAGAAUCCUAAAGAUUGCUGACUUGAGCUUCCAGGUAUCCUAAAGUCUGGUUCAAAUGUAGUAAGUCCCAACCGUACUCUGUGCAGCACCUGGGCACUGCUGUGUGGUGGAAUAUCCUGUCCUGUUCUGGUUAUUGAUCACUGAUCAUUACAUAAGGAGCUUCUACACAUGUGCACCAUUAAAGACCCACCACAUCAUUAUGCUCUUGGAUUCCACUGGCCAGGAAGUUGGCAAGGUGGGGAGGCUGGCUUAUCUCUGAUCCC
Molecule: long non-coding RNA, 666 nt
Filed under: Homo sapiens (human)
Lineage: Eukaryota; Metazoa; Chordata; Mammalia; Primates; Hominidae
Description: long non-coding RNA NONHSAT202154.1
Source: RNAcentral